AGGAAUUCAAUGACCAAAAUUGUGGGGAGAGUGCCCCAUGGAACAGGGGUGCCUAAGUAUGUGGCUUGUCCUCCAGGAACUGCUGCCCACUCUUGCGCCUGCACCCAGUUGCCCAAUCCCAAUGCCUCUGGCACCAAGAUCCCUGGCUGCGUGGAAAUUUUUUAGUAAAUCAUUUUGAUGUUCAGCCACUUUGUUUUGCUUUUGAUACUUUAUACUCCGAAAUGAUAUUGACUCAACCCUUGAUAUCUAGCUUCCAGAACAAGAAACCACUUGUUCCCUUGGACUAAAUCCGGAACGGUAAAUUUCAUAUGAAUAUAAUAUCAAAAUCUUGGAAUAAUUCAAGGUUACAUAGCCUAUAAACUAAAACAUAUAUGAUUAAGACACAUUGAAAAUGUCAAUCAAGAAAUGGCACACGAACAAAAGAAUUUAGAACUUACAACAGCAAGCAUAGCCCAUCUGCAGUGAAUGAGUUCAGACUCCUUGUAUCUCUCAAGGUUCUCAGGAACUUCGCCAAGCCGAAGUGGGUCAAAUCCAAAGUCCCUGGAACAAAGAAACACAAGCACACAACAAAAACAUUAGCAACAAAAAUUUACGUGCUAUGGCAGCCAGCUAGUUCAACUGGUAAAAUAUUCUAAAUGCUUGCUUGCUU
RNAcentral lists this long non-coding RNA (649 nucleotides) under Citrus sinensis (sweet orange). Its description in RNAcentral is "long non-coding RNA (CSIN_LNC003225)". Lineage: Eukaryota; Viridiplantae; Streptophyta; Magnoliopsida; Sapindales; Rutaceae. The record is from RNAcentral.